AUUGAACGCUGGCGGCAGGCUUAACACAUGCAAGUCGAACGAGUGGCGGACGGGUGAGUAAUGCUUGGGAAUCUAGCAUAUGGAGGGGGAUAACUACGGGAAACUGUAGCUAAUACCGCGUACCAUAGGAUGAGCCCAAGUGGGAUUAGGUAGUUGGUGAGGUAAAUGCUCACCAAGCCGACGAUCUCUAGCUGGUCUGAGAGGAUGACCAGCAGCACUGAGACUAAGACACGGCCCAGACUCCUACGGGAGACAGCAGUGGGGAAUAUUGCGCAAUGGGGGCAACCUGACGCAGCCAUGCCGCGUAAAUGAAGAAGGCCUUCGGGUUGUAAAGUUCUUUCGGUAGCGAGGCGUUGACUACAGAAGAAGCACCGGCUAACUCCGUGCCAGCCGCCGCGGUAAUAC
RNAcentral lists this ribosomal RNA (405 nucleotides) under uncultured bacterium. Its description in RNAcentral is "partial 16S ribosomal RNA". It matches the Rfam family "Bacterial small subunit ribosomal RNA", at positions 30 to 526 of the family's 1533-position model. The record is from RNAcentral.